UUUUUUCUUCUAUUUAUGAUAAUGAGUCAAAUUCUUUUUGAAGAAGUAGGUUUUUAAUCUUCAGCUUCAAUUCAUUAGAAAAAAUUCAUAGCUCAUGUUAGUCCACCAAAUUCCAAACAAUAUUUUAAUGAUAUUAAAUGUAACUAGCCAUAAAAAUAGGAAGCAAAAAUUUACUUAACCAAAGUCACAAAGUUAAAUAUGUCUGAAUGGGGAAUACAGAAUGGGUAGCCCCACCUUCUCAACUCUUGACUGAUAAAUGGCCUAUACAAACAAAUACACAAAGGCCUUAUUUUUAUUGUCUGGAAUUCCACCAAAAAUUCCUAGUAUCCUCUCUUAAAGACUCACAGAGCUCUGGGAUGGUAGCAGGGCUUAAAAGUGAUUCACACUUCAACACUAACUAGUUCAAUCAGAUGGCCUUUCUAACCUGCGUAGGGUAACAGCUACAGAA
This 448-nucleotide long non-coding RNA is filed under the name Bos taurus (domestic cattle). Its description in RNAcentral is "long non-coding RNA NONBTAT030651". Lineage: Eukaryota; Metazoa; Chordata; Mammalia; Artiodactyla; Bovidae. The record is from RNAcentral.